Zingiber officinale is the source of this 3050-nucleotide RNA transcript. It is a transcript of the gene named probable splicing factor 3A subunit 1, with no coding region annotated. NCBI's taxonomy places the organism in Eukaryota, Viridiplantae, Streptophyta, Magnoliopsida, Zingiberales, Zingiberaceae. The transcript is spliced from 6 exons. The record is from RefSeq and is a predicted model, not a curated record.
GGAAUAUCUAAAACUCGAAGGGGCCAAAUACUAGAACACAAUCGCAGACUGAGCGCUUUGCCCUAAUCCAGCCGCCGGUUCCUUUUGUCCCAGACGGUUUGCCGUUUGCCGCCGGACGGAUCUUCUCUGGCGUCGUUCUCGCCGCUACCUUUGUCGAAGGUCUUCAUUCCACCGAGGAUACGAUAAACCAGAGGGGGCGCGAUGUUUUCCUCGAUUCUUACUCUCCCAGCCCCGCCCGCCGAUGGAGAUCUAGGCCCGAUUCCUCCUUCCCAGAUUUCCGCCGAUGUCUCUAUCAGUGAGCCUCAGGAUCAGAAAGAACUCCCGCCGCCUCCUCCAGCUCCGGUCGCCACUCACACGAGAACAAUUGGUAUCAUCCAUCCUCCGCCAGAUGUUCGAAUGAUCAUAGAUAAGACUGCAACUUUCGUCGCCAAAAAUGGCCCUGAGUUCGAAAAGAGAAUACUUGCUCAUAAUGCCGGGAACAACAAGUUCAAUUUUUUGAUUUCUUCGGAUCCUUAUCAUGCAUACUAUCAGCAUAAAGUUUCAGAGCAACGUGCCUUGGCUCAAAGUGCCCCUCAGCUGCCCCCAGGAGACGCCUCUCAAGCGACGGAUGCUGCCCCUUUGCCUUCUGAUGGCUCGAUUGCCCCUACAUCUGCAACUGCACCAUCCGAUGAGGCAGCAGCUAAGGUCGACCCUGCUGCUCAGUUCAGGAUUCCUCCAAAGAAGGUCCUUGAGCCACCUGACGCUGAACAAUACACAGUUAGGCUCCCUGAAGGAAUCACUGGUGAGGAAUUGGACAUAAUUAAGCUCACUGCACAGUUUGUCGCACGCAAUGGGAAGAACUUCCUGACCAAUCUUUCAAACCGUGAGAUGAGCAACCCUCAAUUCCACUUCUUGAAGCCAACACACAGCAUGUUCACGUUCUUCACGACUUUGACGGAUGCAUACUCCAAGGUGCUGAUGCCUCCAACAGGGCUGACAGAAAAGCUGCAUAAAAGCAUCAGGGAUAGGACAACAGUGCUCGAGAGAUGUUUGCACCGUUUGGAAUGGGAGCGGUCUCAGGAACAAGCUAGGCUUUUGGCUGAGGAUGAGAUCGAGCAGGAGAGGAUGCAAAUGGCGAUGAUUGAUUGGCAUGAUUUUGUUGUGGUCGAAACCAUUGAGUUCGCUGAUGACGAGGAAGAAGAGCUUCCCAUGCCAAUGACAUUGGAUCAGGUCAUAAGGAGGAGCAAGAUGUCUGCAUUGGAUGAAGAGGAACCAAAUCAAAUAGCUGAACCAGGCAAAGAGAUGGAGAUGGAGAUGGAUGAAGAAGAGAUACAACUUGUUGAGGAAGGAAUGAGAGCUGCAAGACUUGAGGAGAAUGGCAUGGAUGAGAAAAGGAGUGAAAUAAAGGCACCUAGUGAUGAGCCUGAGCCUCCAAUGCGGAUAGUGAAGAACUGGAAGAGGCCUGAGGAGAGGAUUCAUGCUGAACGAGAUCCAACAAACUUUGUGAUUUCACCCAUCACCAAUGAGCUAAUUCCUAUCAAUGAGAUGGCAGAGCACAUGCGCAUCUCUCUCAUCGAUCCCAAAUACAAGGAGCAGAAGGAAAGAAUGAUGGCUAAAAUCCGGGAGACUACUCUUGCUCCUGAUGAUGAGAUUUCCAAGAACAUUGUUGGGCUUGCACGAACUCGUCCUGAUAUUUUUGGCACCACAGAAGAAGAAGUAUCUAAUGCUGUUAAAGCAGAAAUUGAGAAAAAGAAGGAUGAGCAGCCAAAGCAGGUCAUAUGGGAUGGACACUCAGGAAGUAUUGGGCGCACUGCCACUCAAGCCUUAUCACAGGGUGCUACUGGUGAGGAACAAACUGAUGCUAACAGUGACUUGAGGUUACUUCCAGGUCCAGCACCAGCACCUAGACCUGGUGUGCCGUUAGUCCGCCCGCUUCCUCCACCUCCUGGAUUGGCACUAAAUAUUCCUCGUUUCCCACCGAACAUGGUUCCAUAUUCUGUUCCUGGAUCAGCUGGUGGUGUUGUCCCUCCUCCAAGGCCUGGCAUGAUGCCAAUGAUGCCUUCUGUGAGGCCUGCGCCUUCAUCUAUGCCUUUGAAUUCGUCACAGCAGCCCAUUAUGAUUAACCAGCAGCCAGGAAUUCAAGUCAACCCACCAAGCUUUCCUGUACCUCCCCCUCCUGGAUCCCAAUUUACACCGUUAGGGGUUCCUCGACCAUUUGUUCCAAUGCAUAUGCCACCGCCUAACAUGCAGAUGGUUCCUCCGCCUCCACCUCCAUAUGGAAUGCCACCACCUCCACCUCCAGAGGACGCUCCACCACUUCCUGAUGAACCUGAACCAAAACGGCAAAGAGUCGACGAUGUUUCUCUCAUUCCAGAGGAUCAGUUCCUUGCUCAACAUCCUGGAUCUGUCCGAGUUUCUGUAUUGGUUCCUAAUGUGGAUGAAGGAAACUUGAAAGGUCAACUUUUGGAGAUCACAGUCCAGUCUCUGGCUGAGACAGUUGGCAGUCUUAAGGAGAAAAUUGCAGCCGAGGUUCAGCUUCCUGCUAAUAAGCAGAAACUGAGUGCUCGGGCUGGUUUUCUCAAGGAUAAUCUUACGCUUGCAUACUACAACAUUGGCCUUGGUGAAGCUCUGACACUUGCUCUAAGGGAACGUGGCGGGAGGAAAAGAUGAACUUGUCUUGAAACAGAGAUGGUUAAAUAGAUUCAGAAUUCGGGUGCUAAUGUGUCUCUAUUUGUUGCCCAAAAUGAAUGUGUUCCUUCAAAGGGGCAAAACGUAGCAUCCUAUGGUUGCUUUGUUCAAUGUUCUUAAUCCUAGUUAAGGAGACAAAUUCUUCAGAUCUGUUGGAAUAUUCAGCUUGAUGAGAUUUCAAUUUGCCUGCAAUCAAGUUGGCACCAAUUUCAUGUGAAGCGAAGAUCUGGUCGGUUUUUUUUUAACUAUCUUCUGCAUAGUAGUUUAUUACAUGGAGUUUUUUAAUGUUUAGUCGCAGCGAACUGUUACAGUUUUAUUUAUUGAUUUGGAUGAUGAGAGUGGGCUAGAACUGAGAUACAGCAAGAAAACCUCCUUUUGGCAAA